This 1022-nucleotide ribosomal RNA is filed under the name Pediococcus pentosaceus. Its description in RNAcentral is "bacterial SSU rRNA". It matches the Rfam family "Bacterial small subunit ribosomal RNA", at positions 94 to 1104 of the family's 1533-position model. Lineage: Bacteria; Bacillati; Bacillota; Bacilli; Lactobacillales; Lactobacillaceae. The record is from RNAcentral.
AGUGGCGAACGGUGAGUAACACGUGGGUAACCUGCCCAGAAGUAGGGGAUAACACCUGGAACAGAUGCUAAUACCGUAUAACAGAGAAAACCGCAUGGUUUUCUUUUAAAAGAUGGCUCUGCUAUCACUUCUGGAUGGACCCGCGGCGUAUUAGCUAGUUGGUGAGGUAAAGGCUCACCAAGGCAGUGAUACGUAGCCGACCUGAGAGGGUAAUCGGCCACAUUGGGACUGAGACACGGCCCAGACUCCUACGGGAGGCAGCAGUAGGGAAUCUUCCACAAUGGACGCAAGUCUGAUGGAGCAACGCCGCGUGAGUGAAGAAGGGUUUCGGCUCGUAAAGCUCUGUUGUUAAAGAAGAACGUGGGUAAGAGUAACUGUUUACCCAGUGACGGUAUUUAACCAGAAAGCCACGGCUAACUACGUGCCAGCAGCCGCGGUAAUACGUAGGUGGCAAGCGUUAUCCGGAUUUAUUGGGCGUAAAGCGAGCGCAGGCGGUCUUUUAAGUCUAAUGUGAAAGCCUUCGGCUCAACCGAAGAAGUGCAUUGGAAACUGGGAGACUUGAGUGCAGAAGAGGACAGUGGAACUCCAUGUGUAGCGGUGAAAUGCGUAGAUAUAUGGAAGAACACCAGUGGCGAAGGCGGCUGUCUGGUCUGCAACUGACGCUGAGGCUCGAAAGCAUGGGUAGCGAACAGGAUUAGAUACCCUGGUAGUCCAUGCCGUAAACGAUGAUUACUAAGUGUUGGAGGGUUUCCGCCCUUCAGUGCUGCAGCUAACGCAUUAAGUAAUCCGCCUGGGGAGUACGACCGCAAGGUUGAAACUCAAAAGAAUUGACGGGGGCCCGCACAAGCGGUGGAGCAUGUGGUUUAAUUCGAAGCUACGCGAAGAACCUUACCAGGUCUUGACAUCUUCUGACAGUCUAAGAGAUUAGAGGUUCCCUUCGGGGACAGAAUGACAGGUGGUGCAUGGUUGUCGUCAGCUCGUGUCGUGAGAUGUUGGGUUAAGUCCCGCAACGAGCGCAACCC